AUUGAACGCUGGCGGCAUGAUUUACACAUGCAAGUCGAACGGUAACAGGCCGCAAGGUGCUGACGAGUGGCGAACGGGUGAGUAAUGCAUCGGAACGUGCCCAGUCGUGGGGGAUAACUACUCGAAAGAGUAGCUAAUACCGCAUACGAUCUAUGGAUGAAAGCGGGGGACCGUAAGGCCUCGCGCGAUUGGAGCGGCCGAUGUCAGAUUAGGUAGUUGGUGGGGUAAAGGCUCACCAAGCCAACGAUCUGUAGCUGGUCUGAGAGGACGACCAGCCACACUGGGACUGAGACACGGCCCAGACUCCUACGGGAGGCAGCAGUGGGGAAUUUUGGACAAUGGGCGCAAGCCUGAUCCAGCAAUGCCGCGUGCAGGAAGAAGGCCUUCGGGUUGUAAACUGCUUUUGUACGGAACGAAACGGCUCUGGUUAAUACCCGGGGCUAAUGACGGUACCGGAAGAAUAAGCACCGGCUAACUACGUG
RNAcentral lists this ribosomal RNA (482 nucleotides) under uncultured bacterium. RNAcentral's name for it is "partial 16S ribosomal RNA". It matches the Rfam family "Bacterial small subunit ribosomal RNA", at positions 30 to 507 of the family's 1533-position model. The record is from RNAcentral.